GUGCACCAGGCGCGAAACCUCCGCAAUACACGAAAGUGUGACGGGGCCAUCCCGAGUGCCGUCCGCUGAGGACGGCUUUCCCCAGUGUACAUAGCUGGGGGAAUAAGGAGAGGGCAAGCCUGGUGUCAGCCGCCGCGGUAAUACCAGCUCUCCGAGUGGUGGGGACGCUUAUUGGGCCUAAAGCAUCCGUAGCCGGCUGGGCAAGUCCUCCGUUAAAUCCAACGAUUCAAUCGUUGGGCUGCGGGGGAUACUGUCCAGCUUGGGGGCGGGAGAGGCCGACGGUAUUCCCGGGGUAGGGGUGAAAUCCUAUAAUCCCGGGAGGACCACCAGUGGCGAAGGCUGUCGGCUAGAACGCGCCCGACGGUGAGGGAUGAAAGCUGGGGGAGCGAACCGGAUUAGAUACCCCGGUAGU
This 412-nucleotide ribosomal RNA is filed under the name uncultured microorganism. RNAcentral describes it as "bacterial SSU rRNA". It matches the Rfam family "Archaeal small subunit ribosomal RNA", at positions 330 to 745 of the family's 1478-position model. The record is from RNAcentral.